CACGUAGGGCGCAAGCGUUGUCCGGAAUUAUUGGGCGUAAAGAGCUCGUAGGCGGUCUGUUGCGUCCGCUGUGAAAACUCGGGGCUUAACCCCGAGCCUGCAGUGGAUACGGGCAGACUAGAGGUAGGUAGGGGAGAAUGGAAUUCCCGGUGUAGCGGUGAAAUGCGCAGAUAUCGGGAGGAACACCAAUGGCGAAGGCAGCUCGCUGGGACGUGACUGACGCUGAGACGCGAAAGCGUGGGGAGCAACAGG
RNAcentral lists this ribosomal RNA (252 nucleotides) under uncultured bacterium. Its description in RNAcentral is "partial 16S ribosomal RNA". It matches the Rfam family "Bacterial small subunit ribosomal RNA", at positions 524 to 775 of the family's 1533-position model. The record is from RNAcentral.